Molecule: long non-coding RNA, 228 nt
Filed under: Phoenix dactylifera (date palm)
Lineage: Eukaryota; Viridiplantae; Streptophyta; Magnoliopsida; Arecales; Arecaceae
Description: long non-coding RNA (PDAC_LNC010755)
Source: RNAcentral
GGAGCUUUUGGUUCAUUGAUACAUUCUCUAAAUUGGACUAUUUGAAACUUUUACACCAAAAGCAUUUUCUAUACAUUAAACCUUACUUCUCACAUGAAUAUCAAUUUGCUUAUACUCAAUGUUUUGUAAUCAUCAAAAAGGGAGAGAUUGAGGAUCCUAGUGUUAUUUUGAUGCUUACAAAGCCAUUGAGGCCAUAUGAAAAUGCUAAUGCUAUUAACUCAAUUAAUC